Molecule: ribosomal RNA, 619 nt
Filed under: uncultured bacterium
Lineage: Bacteria
Description: bacterial SSU rRNA
Rfam family: Bacterial small subunit ribosomal RNA
Source: RNAcentral
CUUACGGGAGGCAGCAGUGGGGAAUUUUGGACAAUGGGCGAAAGCCUGAUCCAGCAAUGCCGCGUGAGUGAAGAAGGCCUUCGGGUUGUAAAGCUCUUUUGUCAGGGAAGAAACGGUGAGAGCUAAUAUCUCUUGCUAAUGACGGUACCUGAAGAAUAAGCACCGGCUAACUACGUGCCAGCAGCCGCGGUAAUACGUAGGGUGCAAGCGUUAAUCGGAAUUACUGGGCGUAAAGCGUGCGCAGGCGGUUUUGUAAGUCUGAUGUGAAAUCCCCGGGCUCAACCUGGGAAUUGCAUUGGAGACUGCAAGGCUAGAAUCUGGCAGAGGGGGGUAGAAUUCCACGUGUAGCAGUGAAAUGCGUAGAUAUGUGGAGGAACACCGAUGGCGAAGGCAGCCCCCUGGGUCAAGAUUGACGCUCAUGCACGAAAGCGUGGGGAGCAAACAGGAUUAGAUACCCUGGUAGUCCACGCCCUAAACGAUGUCUACUAGUUGUCGGGUCUUAAUCGACUUGGUAACGCAGCUAACGCGUGAAGUAGACCGCCUGGGGAGUACGGUUCGNAAGAUUAAAACUCAAAAGGAUUGACGGGCNGAGAGNGCGAGGACGACGACGAGGAGGAGG